UACCAGCCCCUCGAGUGGUCAGGAGGUUUAUUGGGCCUAAAGCAUCCGUAGCCGGCUGUUCAAGUUUCCGGUUAAAUCCACACGCUUAACGUAUGGGCUGCCGGAAAUACUGUUCAGCUAGGGAGUGGGAGAGGUAGACGGUACUCGAUAGGAAGGGGUAAAAUCCUUUGAUCUAUUGAUGACCACCUGUGGCGAAGGCGGUCUACCAGAACACGUUCGACGGUGAGGGAUGAAAGCUAAAAGAGCAAACCGG
This 253-nucleotide ribosomal RNA is filed under the name uncultured archaeon. RNAcentral describes it as "partial 16S ribosomal RNA". It matches the Rfam family "Archaeal small subunit ribosomal RNA", at positions 474 to 727 of the family's 1478-position model. The record is from RNAcentral.